This 290-nucleotide long non-coding RNA is filed under the name Nicotiana benthamiana. RNAcentral describes it as "long non-coding RNA (NBEN_LNC023417)". The record is from RNAcentral. Lineage: Eukaryota; Viridiplantae; Streptophyta; Magnoliopsida; Solanales; Solanaceae.
AAACAUAUAGGAAAAUCAGAUAAAGCCAAAUAUAACAAUUACUCUAAGCUUGAAUUCUUAAACCCUGAACCGAAAUUCUGGAUUUGUAUCCCCAGCAGAGUUGCUAGAGCUGUCACACCUCCUUUUUACUACACCCACAAGGGCAUAAAAGAGUUUUUCCAAUUAAAGGACAAUCAAAACGGGAUUUAUAUAUUAAGAUUUAGAGUUGCCACUUGCAAGAUUAAUGGUGUCCCAAGUCACCGGUUGAAUCCUGAAUCGAGUAAAAGAAUGACUAUGCUUAACAGUCCGUG